This 511-nucleotide ribosomal RNA is filed under the name Periclimenes incertus. Its description in RNAcentral is "partial small subunit ribosomal RNA". Lineage: Eukaryota; Metazoa; Arthropoda; Malacostraca; Decapoda; Palaemonidae. The record is from RNAcentral.
CGACCGUUCUAGUGAUUUCUAUCUUAGGUAGGAGGUGUAAUUCGUAAACUUGAGAGUGUUUUGUGGUCUAGGGCGGAAUUGGAUCCUGUUAAAUCUUGGUUAAGGACCGGGCUUAGAUAUCCCGUUACGCCAAGACCAAAACCUGAAUGCCGGAGAAGUAAUAGUUAUGUUCUCGAAAAUCUGAGGAGUUGGCGGCUCCCCAAGCUCUUAGAGGAACCUGUGUCUUAAAACGAUGUUCCACGAAAAAUCUUAUUCUCUCUUGUUGUUCAGUCGGUAUACCGCCGUUUGUCAAAGUCUCUUCUAAAGGAUAUACUGUAAUAUAAGAAGUCUUAUAGUAAUUCAGGUUAAGGUGCCACCUAUGGGAGAAGUGGCAUGGGUUACACUGUACUGUARUAAGUCGGAGGAGAGACUGAAAAAUCUCUUUGAAGUAGGAUUUAACAGUAAGUUUUGUUCAAUAAGCAUGGCUGAAGUGUCAUCUGGGGAGUGUACACACCGCCCGUCGCCUCCGUUA